GAUGAACGCUGGCGGCGUGCCUAAUACAUGCAAGUCGAGCGAACAGACGAGGAGCUUGCUCCUCUGACGUUAGCGGCGGACGGGUGAGUAACACGUGGAUAACCUACCUAUAAGACUGGGAUAACUUCGGGAAACCGGAGCUAAUACCGGAUAAUAUAUUGAACCGCAUGGUUCAAUAGUGAAAGACGGUUUUGCUGUCACUUAUAGAUGGAUCCGCGCCGCAUUAGCUAGUUGGUAAGGUAACGGCUUACCAAGGCGACGAUGCGUAGCCGACCUGAGAGGGUGAUCGGCCACACUGGAACUGAGACACGGUCCAGGCUCCUACGGGAGGCAGCAGUAGGGAAUCUUACGCAAUGGGCGAAAGCCUGACGGAGCGGCGCCGCGUGAGUGAUGAAGGUCUUCGGAUCGUAAAACUCUGUUAUUAGGGAAGAACAAAUGUGUAAGUAACUAUGCACGUCUUGACGGUACCUAAUCAGAAGGCCACGGCUAACUACGUG
This 497-nucleotide ribosomal RNA is filed under the name uncultured bacterium. RNAcentral's name for it is "partial 16S ribosomal RNA". It matches the Rfam family "Bacterial small subunit ribosomal RNA", at positions 28 to 507 of the family's 1533-position model. The record is from RNAcentral.